GCGACCCCAGGAUGGGCGAGGAAACCCGCCGAGUUUAAGCAUAUCAAUAAGCGGAGG
Molecule: ribosomal RNA, 57 nt
Filed under: Rossioglossum beloglossum
Lineage: Eukaryota; Viridiplantae; Streptophyta; Magnoliopsida; Asparagales; Orchidaceae
Also listed under: 2 other names
Description: partial 26S ribosomal RNA
Source: RNAcentral